CAGCAGAUACCUGGCUAUGAACGCCGCCCAACCCCGUCAGGACAGGAAUGUAGCAGCGGUAAGCGGAAAGUUUAUGAGACCGGGACCAUUUGCUGCUG
This 98-nucleotide signal recognition particle RNA is filed under the name Candidatus Ornithospirochaeta stercoravium. RNAcentral's name for it is "signal recognition particle sRNA small type". It matches the Rfam family "Bacterial small signal recognition particle RNA". From Rfam's summary of the family: The signal recognition particle (SRP) is a universally conserved ribonucleoprotein involved in the co-translational targeting of proteins to membranes. Archaeal SRP consists of a 7S RNA and homologues of the eukaryotic SRP19 and SRP54 proteins. Lineage: Bacteria; Pseudomonadati; Spirochaetota; Spirochaetia; Spirochaetales; Spirochaetaceae. The record is from RNAcentral.